GACAGAGGUUGCAAACGUUGUCCGGAAUCAUUGGGCGUAAAGCGCGUGUAGGUGGCUUCGUAAGUCCGUUGUGAAAGUCAAAGGCUCAACCUUUGAAAGCCGAUGGAUACUGCGGAGCUAGAGUACGGAAGAGGCGAGUGGAAUUCCUGGUGUAGCGGUGGAAUGCGCAGAUAUCAGGAGGAACACCAAUAGCGAAGGCAGCUCGCUGGGACGUUACUGACACUAAGGCGCGAAAGCGUGGGGAGCGAACAGG
RNAcentral lists this ribosomal RNA (253 nucleotides) under uncultured bacterium. RNAcentral's name for it is "partial 16S ribosomal RNA". It matches the Rfam family "Bacterial small subunit ribosomal RNA", at positions 524 to 776 of the family's 1533-position model. The record is from RNAcentral.